This 408-nucleotide ribosomal RNA is filed under the name uncultured bacterium. RNAcentral's name for it is "partial 16S ribosomal RNA". It matches the Rfam family "Bacterial small subunit ribosomal RNA", at positions 29 to 526 of the family's 1533-position model. The record is from RNAcentral.
AGUGAACGCUGGCGGCGUGCCUAAUACAUGCAAGUCGCAGGAAGUGGCGCACGGGCGAGUAAUAUAUAGCUAAUUCGCCCCUCGCUGGAGGACAACAGUUAGAAAUGACUGCUAAUCCUCCAUAGGAAGGGAAGAGACUAUUUCGUGUCAGCUAGUCGGUGGGGUAACGGCCUACCGAGGCUAUGACGCGUAACUGGGCUGAGAGGAUGAUCAGUCACAUGGGGACUGAGACACGGUACAAAUUCCGACGGGAGGCGGCAGUAAGAAAUAUUGCGCAAUGGGGGAAGCCCGGAGGCAGCAACGCCGCGUGAAGGAGGACUCUGUGCGGAGCGUAAACUCCUUUUGUGAUGGAGGCGGUACCUGACGAAUAAGCACCGGCUAACUCCGUGCCAGCAGCCGCGGUAAUUC